Non-coding RNA from Potamilus streckersoni, 83 nucleotides. Lineage: Eukaryota; Metazoa; Mollusca; Bivalvia; Unionida; Unionidae. The record is from the annotation of a GenBank genome assembly.
GCCUUGACCGGUCCAAUAGCCUAAGUGGUUAGAGCGUCAGCCUCGGAUGCGGGAUGUCGUGAGUUCGAACCCCGAUCAAGUCA